AUGGCGGAGGACGCAACGGCAGGGGCGAAUCCUCUCCUCAGUGGCCUCCCGGAUGAGAUCGUCACCUGGGAGAUCCUCGUCCGCCUCGACCCCAAAUCCGUACUCCGAUGCCGCGCCGUCCGCCGCGACUGGCGCCGCGUCACCUCCACCCGCCGCUUUCUCCUGGCCAACCACAGCCGCCAGCCCACCCUCCCCAUUUUCGACACCGGCAAAUUCAUUGGCCGCGUCCACUACCGUAUCAUCCUCACCUUCGACCACCGGGCCGCCAACAACACCUGGCGUAACAAGGGCUUAAAUCUGACGGCUCGGCUUGACAAGGGUUUCCAUCCGGUGGCCUCAUGCGACGGCCUCCUCGUCCUCUCCAAGUACAACAGGACUGCCUCUGGAACCUGCCUCUCUAUCUGCAACCCUGCCACGCGCGAGCAUGCCUUUCUUGGGCCACCGUGGGACUUCAAACUUUUGGGGAUGUACUCACACCGACCUACCGGCGAGUACCGGCUGUUGCUGAAGCGGUGGAGCUUCACGGGCUGCUUGGACUCGCCUAAAGACCGAAUUGGCUUCUAUGUUUUCACGUUGGGCUCAAACCAGACACCCAGGUACAUUGGAUGGCCGGAGACAGCGUCAUGGUGCAUCCAUGUACCUGUCAUGGUGCGUGAUUGCCUGCAUUGGUAUCCAACGUUUUAUCUGGGUGGAAGGGGAUAUCUCAGUGAAAGCAAACCAGUAAUAGUAUUCGACACCAUAGCUGAGUCACUCCGGCAGAUGCGUGCUCCAAUUGUUCCCACCGACUCAUAUAUCUUUGAGAUGGAUGGCACCCUCGGCAUCCACAACCAUAACAGGGACACACAAGUUAUGGAUAUAUGGGUGUUGCAGAACUAUGAAAGGGAGAUUUGGGAUUUCAAGUACCAUAUCAAGUUGCCGUUUACAGAAAUGAGCACAUUUGGAGGCAGUGAUGAACAUUGGGAUGUGGAUGUUGUUUCAAGGGAUGGCGAUCUGCUCUUUCUGGUCAGUUUUGGUCGGUGUUUGCUUCACGUGGCAAAUUGA
Molecule: ribosomal RNA, 1041 nt
Filed under: Triticum aestivum (bread wheat)
Lineage: Eukaryota; Viridiplantae; Streptophyta; Magnoliopsida; Poales; Poaceae
Description: partial small subunit ribosomal RNA
Source: RNAcentral